This is a non-coding RNA of Malus domestica (apple), 3834 nucleotides long. The record is from RefSeq and is a predicted model, not a curated record. Lineage: Eukaryota; Viridiplantae; Streptophyta; Magnoliopsida; Rosales; Rosaceae.
UCUAGAUUUUAUAUUGUUUUCUCUUCAUUUCUAUUCUUUCUUAAUUUUCUACCUUUCAAUAUUCCUUUUGAUGAGUCUAAUAUAUCAAAAGAGAGAUUUAAAAAGGUAAAUUUGAUGGUUGCGUGUGAAAAUUUGGAAGUGAAAUUAGUUAGGUUUUAUUUUCUUGAUGUUUUGUGAAUGGUAGGUACAUAAUUUGAUUGUUUUAGUUUGUUCGUUUCUUUUCAUGGUUGUGAGAUCUACAUAAUUUGAAUGUUUCGGUUCUUAUUUUUUCUAAAAAUAGUUUUACUCUAAUUUGCUUUUACCUUCUGUGGUGUAUCUACAAGAUGGAUCAUGGAAGACACAUGCUUUUAACUUUUCAUCAUUUCGGUAUUUGAGAUGCAGAAGAUUGAUUAGACAUAUAAAUUUUGUUUAGACUACCAUUUGUAUCUAAUAGGCUUAAACUUCAUCAUGUUACUUGUACCAUUGGUAUAUAGUCAAUGAAGUAUGAAUCAUUUUAAUAUUAAUUUUUUUUAUUGACAGUUUAUUUUUUCGUCUAGGGUGGUGGGGGAAAAUAAUAAUAAUCGUAAACAUAUUUGACCCUAAAAAACGUUUUUAAUUAAUAUAAUUCCCAAAAUGCAAUAAUAAUAAAUAUAAAUGCAUUAAAUAUAUAAUAAAGUAGGGGCCUUAAUAAUCGCCCCUAAUACUACAAAACUAUUAGGGGCGGAAAUAAGUGCUUAUUUGCACCUAUUUAUUAAUAGCAACACUCUUUUUAGGUGCAAUUUCAAUAUCCGCCACUCCUAACUAUUAGGUGCGGAAAUCCUCAAAUUUUGCCCCUUAUUUCUAAUUAAUAGGUGCAAAUGCAUUGGUCUCUACUUGUUCAUAGUUUUGUAGUGCCUUUUGAGUUCUAAUUCAAAUUGGUUACAAAUUUGAAUGGGUCCAUAAAUUUGGUGUUUUCUUUCAGGUUUUAAGAUAAAGACCUUUUGAUUUCUAAUUCAAAUUUGCUUACAGAUUUGAAUGGAAUAAAUUAAUAGAGUAUGAACUUAGGACCUUAUAACCUUUUGGGUUUUGAUUUUGCAGGGAAAGCCACCAAUUGGCAAGGACUUGCUAUUGAGGUUGCCAUUUUCAUUACUAAUUAAAUUGUUUUCCAUUUGCUUUUACUUAUUAAAUUGACUGUGUAUAUGCCAUAUCUUGCCAAUCAUGCCAUUUGCAAUACUUGUUUGAACAUUUGCUUUCUAUUGAGGCUACCAUUUGCUUUUGAGUAUAUUUCUUAGAUAUAGUUGAUCCUUUGGUGUUCUUCCCACUAGAAAAUUAUCUAUCAAACAACGCGAAUGAUUUUGCUUGUCACAUUUUUUUUGCAAGAGCCCUUCAAGUAUUUACUAUGAAUAUGGACUAUUCAUGAAUAAUCACUUGCUGCUUGAUCAAGCAGGAGCCUUUCAAGUCUUUACUUAUCGAUUUGUGUAAAUUGGUAUUGUUUUUCAUUGUGUAUGAGAAGCAUUGUAAAAGAAUUGGAUUGAUAUUCAUGAAAUCAAAAAAGGCAUUUGAUGUCUUCCAAGUUGCCUCCAAAGUUGGUAUGCUAUUGUUCGUUGUCAUUGAAAUAUAAAUUUAAGAAUAAAGUCAUACAAAAUACUUGAAUUCCUUCAAGUUCAUGCAAUUCCUCCAAAUUCAUAGAAUAAACUUAUACAAAGCAGAGGAACCCCAUUAACACAGGAACAAAAAAAUGAGAUUAGCUUCCUGUAGAUAUUGAGUGCUCAUCAUCUUGUAGUUAACCAAAAUGGAAAUCAUAAAAAUGUUGAUUAAAAAUAAUAAUGUUAUUAUAUCUACAAAUAAUCCUGGAAGGGUUACUUGUUAUGAAUAACACUUUCAUGGAACAUUUUGGUCCACAGUGGCCAUUCUACAUCAAAAACAAUAAACACAUUUCAACUAUUGAUAUAUUAAUUGCAUGAUAUACAUAGAAAAACACGCGGAGUUUGUAUUCUUACCGAUUGUGGAGCUUCGGACAAUUUCUUUUGUCAUGAUUAACUCCAUAUUGCCCACACCCAUGACAAAGGUUACCAUUAACCAUUUUAAGUCUUUUUCCAGAUCAUUUGGUCUUAAUAGGAUCAGGUUCAAGAAAACCAACAUCAUCUACUAUCAAUUCUUUUUUUUUUGCAGGAUGUUCCAUAUCUUCUUUGGUUGUAGAAGUUUCCACGUUUUCAUUGCUACUACCAACUAAUGGCUUAAUCUUUUCAUUCACAAUAUCCAUCGCCUCACAAAAGAGUUUAAUUGCCUCAUCAUUUAGAAUCACUUUAUCAAUCAAAUGCGAAUAUUGUUGGAAUAAUGUACCACUUCUUUCAAGUACGGAUUUGUCAACAUAUAUCUUCACACCAGAGUUGUCUACUGUAACCGAAGAUUUUGCAGAUUUAGUCCAUCUAUUCAAAAUGUAUUCAUCCGACAAUAUCUCAAGUUGACGUAUUUUAUGCAAAUAUGUCAAAAAAUUCAAUUUCACAAUCUCUCACACCUAAUCUCUCACACCUAUCCCUCACGACUUCACUAUCAAGUAUUCAAGGUAUGGAUUGAACUCUUAAUCUUCCUCAACAAAUCUUUUCACUUUUUCAUAUGGGUUAUUUUGAUUUUCAGAAAAUAUUCUCUUUCCAGGGUUCAAUUUUUUUUUUUAAUUUUAGUUGUUUUGUCCUAAUUUUGAUGAUUAGAUUUUGAAAUAUAUUUUUUCCCUGAAUCCACAUCGACAUAGGUUUGUGGUUGUUUUAAGGAAGUGGAAGAAGACAAUGGCAUCUACUUAACUCAAAGCUUUUCUUUCAAUGGUUAAUCAGUAAUAAGCAAGCGUGUAUGAGGUUGGAGGAAUUAGCAGUUGAAGUUGAGGCACUUGCCUUUGAAGGCACAAAGAGGGGGUGCUUGGUAAAAGAUCACCUCACCUCACUUUUUUUUUUUUUUUUUUUUUUUUUUUUUUCUGAUUUGGAUUUUCAGAUUGAGUAAAGUUUGAUGCUUUAUGUGAGUAAGCGUGUGAUUUUUUUUUUUCAGGGCAUAUCUUAAGUGAUUAGUUUUUGUACAUGGUAUGAGUUAGUAAACAUAAUGACAGGAAGAAGACUAUGGUUUAGAUAAAACAUGUUAAUUUGCAUUCUUCUGUUAAGAUCAUCUGUAUUUAUAGUGUUCUAAAAAGAUUAUGUCUGUUCCUAUUCUUUGCUAGAAUGUUUUUGUAUAAAUUUUCAUACAUUUAUGCACAUCUAUUCUAAUCCCAUGUAUAUUUGCUUGCAGUUUUGUUGUGGAAUGAAGAUAGAUCAUAUCCGAAGUUUAUUACCUUUUUAGUCUAAUAAGAAAAUCAAAGUCUGUGUAUGCAGAAUUUUGAGACCUAAAGUUAUAGGAAAGGAUAAUACGUUUGGCGGUCUUUAAUGUAUAUUGGUUGAUGAAAUGAAAGAUGCAAUUCAAGCCUCUGCAAAAUGGAUUACGAGUACGUUGCUCCAAAGAUUAAAUCUAAUCAUGUUUAUGAGAUCACACACUUUUGGACCAGUUGUUGUAAACCGUCUUACAAAAUUGUCCCCCAUGAUGCACAAGUGUGCUUCAAUACAAUUUUUUGUUUUGAAAAGUUAUCAGGUGUUCAUCUACACAUUCCCUCACAUCAGUUUUACUUACUUGAUUAUUCUCAACAGUCUUCUCGCAUCGAUCGAUAUGAUAUUCUCACAGGUAAUUGUACAUAUAUAUAUAUAUAUAAAUUAAUAUUAGUUUAGUAUCAUUUUGUCAAUAUUUUUAAGCAUUUUGAGAUCUAAUUACAAUAUUUGGACAAAUAUUGAAAUGUUUGGGACGCUGUAGACAUCGAAAUUUCGGUAAAUAAAUGUUGACCGAUAAAUCAAAGUUUCAACGCUC